This 1105-nucleotide long non-coding RNA is filed under the name Lynx pardinus (Iberian lynx). The record is from RNAcentral. Lineage: Eukaryota; Metazoa; Chordata; Mammalia; Carnivora; Felidae.
GAAUAAGCCAGCAAAAUUGCCUUGCCUCUCUGACAUAAAACCAGUGAAUCUCACUUAACUGAACCGCUUUUGGGAGGACAGUUGUAGCAUUCUCAGCUGCCAAUCUGAUGAAAACAAAUGCCACGGAUGGGAAUAAGAAAGUCUUCUCUUUCUUGGAGAAAACACCCAGCGACCAACAGCAACUCAACUACUAAAAUCAUCCGCUUUCGUUUUCAGCCCCUGGGGGCUGAGUGGUGUUUUCUUGCUUCGGUCCAAACAAUUUGUACACCUGUUGAAGAGAAAAUAAAAUCUGACGGCGGUACAAAGUCCGGGGGAUUAACGCGAUUUGCGCUGAGCUCUUAAAGCCGAGAUAAUUGCGGGUCUCGGUUUCUUCUUUUGUUCUGCAGAACGGCAUCUGAAAUUUGACAAGCAAGUCCUCUCCCCACACCCCCUUUUUUUUUGUUGUUGCAAGGGACCGGGUGGAGAUUUCACCAGAUCUCUCCCUUUCUGCGAGGCUGCGUCUUCCUUGGAAUUCUCUGGUCUCACCGGGCUUCGCGGCAUGUGGUCAAGCAAGGCUGGCUUACUUGGCUGGUUUUGGAGCUACCUUUGGGGGCGUGCUCUUUUACCUCGUUUCCCAAUCCUGAGAUCAGGGGUGCCCGGGUGGUUCCAUCAGUUAAGCCUCGGACUCUUGGUUUCGGCUCAGGUCGUGAAUUCACGGUUCACCGGUUCGAGCCCCGCAUGGCGCUUUGGGCUGGCAUCACAGAACGUGCUUGGGAGCCCCUCUCUGCCCCUCCCCUGCUCGUGCUCUGUCUCUCUCAAAGUAAAUAAAUAAAUUAAAAAAAAAAAUAACCGAAGUCUGAGGUCAGAAAUCCGGGAGGAUGAGAGGGAAGAGAGGGCUGAAGCUGGUGAGGAAGCCUACACGGCUUUUCAUAAAUGUGGCCGAAGUGACUUCAGAGAGUCCCUUUGCCCUCCCAGGGUCUGUGUGUCAUAUACAUUCAGGCUCUGAUUUGCUAUACUUCUCAAGCUGAACGUAUGCUACGGGAUACCUUUGAUGUUGCCAUAAUUGUGUGUGGGAUCUUCAAUCAUGAUGUCAUCAAAUUUUAUUAAACUUAAUAUGGAUAAAACC